This 208-nucleotide unclassified non-coding RNA is filed under the name soil metagenome. Its description in RNAcentral is "partial contains 5.8S ribosomal RNA, internal transcribed spacer 2, and large subunit ribosomal RNA". The record is from RNAcentral.
AACCAUUCUCACCUGCGGCUAGACCUGCGGAAGGAUCAUUACCGAGUUUACAACUCCCAAACCCCUGUGAACAUACCUAUAUGUUGCCUCGGCGGAUCAGCCCGCGCCCCGUAAAACGGGACGGCCCGCCGCAGGAUCCACAAACUCUGUUUUUAUUGUAACUUCUGAGUAACAAAACAAAUAAAUCAAAACUUUCAACAAUGGAUCU